AAUAAUUCAAUUGUGUUCCUAAUUUUUAAUUAAAUAAAAUUAUAAAUUGUAUUAUAUGGUUGAAAAGAUAUUUUAAUUAUAAUCAUCAAAAUAUAAAAUUUAUAUUCAUUUAUAAAUAAUUCUAAACAUUAUUGAAAAUUAGAGGAAAAUACUAUAAAUUAGUUAAAUAAUCCACGUGCAAAGUACGUGUCAAGAAACUAGUUAAUUAAAAAGGGAUCCAUUUACACAUGUAAGAGAGAAGGGUUCUGCUCAAUUUAUUGAAAAAAAUAUAUGCAUUAGACCACCGCUUCCCUUUGCCAGCGGGCCUCGUGUUUCUCAUUCAUAUAUAGUUUGAGCACCCCGCCUCCAAAACUAAUGCAAUAAAUAAAUAUAUGCAUUAAUUAAUUAGUAUAUUUUUUUUAAUAUAAAAAUAAGGUUUGAAUAUCUUUUAAGUUAUAAUUUAUUGGCUUAAUUAAUUAGUAUUAAUAAAAAAGCGAAUCAUCACAGAGCAUACCUUAAUUAAUUACUCCCAAAUCCUAUAAUAUUAACUUAUUAUCCUAUAUAGUUUUCAUAACAGCAGUUCAAAUACUAGUAGUCAUAAAAAGAUUUAACGAAACUCCUGCGUUUCUAUAAAUUUUAUAUUUUUAUUUAUUUCUUUUUAAUUUUAAUUAACAAAACCAUUAGUCAUGCGAUGAAUGCCGAAUCAUAUGUAUGCAUGCAUAGGUGUCUUUCGCCAUGACCUGAUUCUAGUCAGGGGGACUUGUCUGUAUAUCCAAAUUAACCAAUGGUUCGAACCACUUUUUUCUUCUUCUUAUCUAUACGUGUAUCAUCUCCAAAUGAAUCUAGCUAGCUAGCUAUCCAGGGAAGGAUCUGGGAUUCAGAGAUAAGAGGAGGAGACGGAGAAACUUUCAAGAAAUACAGGAGGCCCCCUUCUCCUCCAUAAAAAGGAAUAUAUACUCAAAGAAUUGAUGCUUUAGAUUGAGCUCUUCAUUCUCUGCAGAUGAAAUCAAAUUGUGCAAAAUUGAUGAACUGCAGAACCAGUUCAACUCUAUUGCUACAACGGUAAAAGCUUUUAAGCCCUUUUUACCUGUAUUCACACCUUGACAGAAGCAAACAAUGCGGCAGGUCAUAUGGUUUGGCCAAGCAGAGUCUGGACAGAAUUGAUGGUUUUGUAGCCUGGUUUUGAUCUAGUCUAUCUCUUGUAUUUCUUGCUUCUGUUUCUGCUUUGUACGCCAUUAUCUUGUAUCCUAUUAAUAAAGCCUGGUUUAGCUUGUUCAGCAUAA
Long non-coding RNA from Populus trichocarpa (black cottonwood), 1262 nucleotides. RefSeq lists it as uncharacterized. The record is from RefSeq and is a predicted model, not a curated record. The transcript is spliced from 2 exons. NCBI's taxonomy places the organism in Eukaryota, Viridiplantae, Streptophyta, Magnoliopsida, Malpighiales, Salicaceae.